GCCCUGGGUAUAGCUCAGUUGGUAGAGCAGCGCAUUCGUAAUGCGAAGGUCAGGAGUUCGAUUCCCCUUAUCGGCACCA
Molecule: transfer RNA, 79 nt
Filed under: Aeromonas veronii
Lineage: Bacteria; Pseudomonadati; Pseudomonadota; Gammaproteobacteria; Aeromonadales; Aeromonadaceae
Description: tRNA-Thr
Rfam family: tRNA
About the family: Transfer RNA (tRNA) molecules are approximately 80 nucleotides in length. Their secondary structure includes four short double-helical elements and three loops (D, anti-codon, and T loops).
Source: RNAcentral